Molecule: long non-coding RNA, 4659 nt
Filed under: Homo sapiens (human)
Lineage: Eukaryota; Metazoa; Chordata; Mammalia; Primates; Hominidae
Description: HSALNT0351576
Source: RNAcentral
AUAUAUAUAGUGACUGCCUCUAAUCUAUAAAUAUUGAAGGAUGUUAAUCUUUUUGGUCACAUAUUUAUAUUGUUGCUUUUUUUAUUUGAUAUUAGAGUAUAUGAUCUAUGUAAUCUCUACUUUUUAAAUGUACAGCUUUCAAGCAAAUGUAUGAUUUUUUCAUAAAUGGACAUAAGAUUGAUUAUAUAUAUAUGUACGUGUGUGUGCAGAGAUUAUAUAUAUACAUACAUGCAUAUAUUCGUGUAUACAUUUGCAUAUUAUAAUUUAUCUACUGUUAUUCACUUUCUCACCUUCCUUGCCUGAUUUUGACCUUUAAUCUUGAAAUAAUUUUAUUAACUAUAUACUAUAGUUUGCUUUUUCUCACCUCUCCUUACAUUUUCAAUAUAAUUUCUUUCCAAAUAUUUAGGAUGUAUAUUGUGUUAUAAUUGCUAUAUCAACAUGAAUUGUGCCUAUUAUGAUUGUAAAAGUCCCUCUUUACACUGCUUUUUACUUUUGAGCUUAUAUCUAAGAUUUUCUGAUGAAAUAUUGACAUUUUUGCCUUUCUUAAUUUUGCAUUUGCCUGGUAUCUCUUGGCUUUUCCCUUUAUUUUCAACCGUUCUUUAUCACUUGGUCUGAAGCAAGUUUCUUGUAACAGCACAUUGCUCGAUUUUGUUUUUUUAACCUAAUUUGACAGCUUUUGUCUUUUUAUAGAAUAUUCAGUAAGAGGAUUCAGUUUUCAGAAUGAACUAGAGCACAGAAGGGGGACUGCCUCUGCAUAUUUAAGUAGAUUGUAUUCCAAAGAUAUGAACAUUGUUGAGGCAGGAGAACUAACUAGCUUCUUACAUAGAAAGGUGUUUCUAUAGGGAAUGCUCCACAGAAUUCCAAUUAAUUGUUUCACAGAUUAAGAGAGUCACCAGGGUUCCCUUGUAACAUUUCUCAUCAAAGAGUGUUCUAUAGGGAAGAGAUAAAACCUAAACAGUCCCGGAAGCUGAGACAAGAAACUGAAAAAAAAAGGAAAGUGAGCAACAAGAUAAUGUAAGUCACAACUGAGCCAAUUAAGGAGCAGGAGAUGCAGCAGCAUGUCCCAAACAAAACUGAUUGGAGGUCAAGUGUGGACAACCAGAGCAAGUUCUUGCACAGCUAAUGUAUCCCCAGGUGUGAACUGAGUAACAUGAAGAAAGGCAUCCUCCUGCCACCUCCUGAAUCAGUAGAAAAAGACAAAAGCUUUUGAUGGGAUUAUGCUGGAGUCCAUGUCAUGGAACCAAACUGGAAAUUUUCUGGCAUGAUUUUAGGCGUUUUGCAUGAACUCUAAUUCAUUGAAAUGUAACAACCUUAUAAGGUCCCUGCAGGACCAUGUCACCCAAAAUAAUGCAUCAGAUAUAAGGACUUGUCUUUUACUCAUUUACUUCUUGGACCUACUUAGAAAACUGUGGCAGCACUGUUUUGUUAUUAUUGUCUUAAGUGCAUGAUCCAACUUGGAAAGAUUCAACUGGCUCAUGGUUUGUACCGGGGGAACCAAGCCCAUGGUUGGGAUCCAGGGGUCCCUCCAGUCUCCUGUUCCAUGGUCGCACACACCUUGAGGGCACCCACACGGUUUGAUCGUCUCCUUAUAUUGCUGCUGGCAGACUCGUGACGGGGUUUCUCAUUCAUCUGGGUGUACAAGAAGCAUGGUGCCAGCAUCUGCUCAGCUUCUGAUGAGGGCUCUGGGAAGCUUUUACUCAUGGAGGAAGGCAAGGGGAACCAGCAUGUCACAUGAUGAGAAAGGAAGCAUGAGAGAGAGGUGCCAGACUCUUCAACAACCAGAAGAGAAAGUCAGAGAGAAUCAAAGCAUGUGAAGAGAGACCUCACGCAAGGAGGUCUAGGAGCCUAGAGUGAUCUUCAGCCAACAGUCAAAAAGAUAACUGGGACAACCACAAGGAACUGACUUCUAUAAGAGAAAUGAGCCUGGAAAAGGACUCCAAGCUUCAGAUGAAAAUGUAGUUGGCUGACACUUUGAUUUUAGUCUUGUGAAACCCUAAGCAGAGAAUCCAAGUAAGUCCCCCUGAACUUCUCACCUAAAGAACAAUGAGUUAAUAAAUAAGGGGUAUGAUAAGUCAUGAAAUAUGUGGUAAUUUAUUACAAAACAAUAUAUAAUGAUACAGAUACCUAUCUGGUAGCCAGAUAUUAUCCUAAGUAUUUUCCACAAGACAUUUAAUUUGAUUUAAUUAACACGCAACUCCAUAAGAGACAGAUCCUUUUAACUAUUUUGCAGGUGGUAAACUGAGGCUCAAGUAAUUUAUGUGAUUUGUCUAAGGUCCCAUAGGCUAUAAGUGUCAGAGCCCAGAUUGAGAAGUGUUUGGCUGUUCAUGCAAGUGCAAGCAGCUUUCAUUAAACUAUUCGCAGAAGUCUGUCAGAAUAGCUAGCAAGGAUACCAACUAUCUAGGGAAAGUCACACCAAAGGAGUGACCCAAAGAAACACAUUUUAACCUGAACUGCCUGGUAAUACACUGAAGGCAAAUCAGCCCCAAAGACUAAAAUUGUUAAUUUUCUGUGAUUCCUCGCUGUUUUAUUUAAUAUAAUAUGACCUUAACCUAGUCUUGAUAUUUGAUUUCUGAACAAUGAGUCAAGAGAGUUGCCUUCUCUAUGUAGUAGUACUUUACUGUUGUCAAAGACUUGUCCUUUGGUGCUUCAUAUUUUGCUUUACCUACAUGGAACAUUGCUAAUUUAGGUGAUAGCCUAACUAUUUAUAGUUAAAUACACCCACCAAGUUCCCUUUACCCUUCAAAUUAACUAAAAAGAAACAACUUCCUACUUCUUACACCACAUAAAAUUCAUAUUUUGCUUUAAAUGUAAUUUUUCAGCAAAGAGCCUAGUGGAGUUCACUUAAAACUAACCAAAUCAGCUGUUAAAAUUGUCCAUUUGAUCACAUGGGUUAUAGGCAUAGUUAUUUGACUGAGUUAUGACAAUGCUCAGAAACAGAAAAGACAGUCAAAGGUUAUCAUGUAAGUUCAAUAAAAAUUCAACAGUUGUUUUUAAAGAUUUUCAUAUGAUAAUAUUGUUUCACUUUCUAUUACCCAUAUUUGAUUUCAUUUACAAAUAAAAUACUACCCACUCUAUGAAUCAUGCUUUUAUCUCAAAUAUAUCUAGAGUGAAUCUCUAUGAUUUUUAGAAUACAGAAAUAUACAUUUUAAAAAGAUUUUAACAUUUAUUGUAAAUAAUUUAAGACAACUUUUAGAUAUAUCACGUGAGUGUUUAACUCAAUUUUCAUGACCCAGCUGGCCCAAAUUAGUCUUUUUUAUAAAUUGUUUUUUGAGUUGAAAUUAUUCUUUCACACCUAAAGAACUCUAUCUGAUGCUCUAGAGAGAAAUAUUCAAUUGAACUUCACAAUGUAGAACAUUUCCUGCAUUCUCCAUUGUAGACUGUGAUGAAUAAAUCAAUAUGUGCUUACUAAAAACAAAUGAUACAAUUUAAGGAAAUAUAUUAUUUUGAGUCCUGAUUCAAAGAAAAUAACCAAAUAUUUAAAAUUUAUUUAAAAUUUGUACUGUUUAUUUAUAUAAUUAUAACAUCUUCAAAAUCAAUAAUGAUUUUCUUCAUUUAGUAUUUAAACAUAACUAUUUUCUCAUAGUACUAGAGUCGCCAUAAGCAUCACUCUAUGGCUAUAUAAUUUCUGACAUGUGCUUUUAUUGGAAUUCAUUAAUAAUUUCAUUAUUUUUAGGUAUUUAGAUCAUGGCCCACUUUCCCCUACAACCACGAUACCUGUUUAAAUUGACAAAUCAUAGUUGUAUGGAUUUACGGGGCAAAAUGUGAUGUUUUGAUAUACGUAUAUGAUACAGUUUGAUUAAAUCAAGCUGCUUUAACAUAUCCAUCAUCCUGCUUACCUAUCAUUUUUAAUAAUGAGAUAUUUGAAAUGUAUUCUCUUAGUUAUUUUCAAAUACAUAAUACAUUAUUAUUGACUGUAGUCAUCCUGGUGUGCAAUGAAUCUCAAGAUGAAUAUUUCCAUGAACAUUAAAAAAAAUUCUUCCAUUUUGAAAUGUCACUUUUCAUUAAUUGUGACUCUGAUACUUCUCCGCUUGACAUCUCCACUUAUGCAAUAAAAAAAUUCAUUGUACACUUUAUCUUCUAGGGACUUGACACGUGCAAGCCCUUCACUUUCAUUUUUUUCUAAGCCAGCUUUCUCCAUCCCCUCAUAUCAAUGCCUCAGCAUCCAGUGAUUAAAUCCCAGCAUUUCUAUCACAGUUUAUCUCCAUCACAAUAUUUCCUGUUUUGCAGUAUAACUGGUGAUUAACUUUAAUUACAAUCAUGACUACUCUAUAGCAGAGGCCAAAAUGAUGAUUACACAUCAUGUUUCAUAAUAUUUUUCAGUUAGAUGAAGCUUCAGUGCAGCUACCCUGCUAAAAUAACUAAUUUGCAUAUCAUUAUAUAGAGUUCAAAUGAACUUAUUUUAUCCACUCCCACCCAUUAGUCAUCUUAUUGCAGUUUAGAAAAUAUAUUGACUCUGGACCAUGAGUCUGUAGGUGAAGGUAACAGUUAUAAUGAUGAAAAAAAAUUUUCUCAGGUCAUUCUGUAUUUUUCCUGAUUUAAUUGAUUAUAUCACUCAUAGGCCAUCAAGGCACCACUAGAAACUUUUCUAUUAAACAUAGUACUGGAAGUUCCAGCCAGGGCAAUCAGUCAAGAGAAAGAAAUAAAGGGUAUUCAAAUAGG